RNAcentral lists this ribosomal RNA (852 nucleotides) under uncultured marine bacterium. Its description in RNAcentral is "bacterial SSU rRNA". It matches the Rfam family "Bacterial small subunit ribosomal RNA", at positions 78 to 936 of the family's 1533-position model. The record is from RNAcentral.
UUUUCCGAGCGGUGUUACAAUGCAGUCGACGAGAGUUUUUACUCUAGUGGCGAACGGGUGCGUAAUACGUGAGAAUCUGCCCUUAGGAGGGGAAUAACUGUUGGAAACGAUAGCUAAAUCCCCAUAUGCCGAGAGGUGAAAUAGUCCUUAACUGCCUAAGGAUGAGCUCGCGCCUGAUUAGCUUGUUGGUGAGGUAAUGGCUCACCAAGGCCACGAUCAGUAGCUGGUUUGAGAGAACGAUCAGCCACACUGGGACUGAGACACGGCCCAGACUCCUCCGGGAGGCAGCAGUGAGGAAUUUUCCGCAAUGGGCGAAAGCCUGACGGAGCAAUACCGCGCGAGGGACGAAGGAUUUUGGUCUGUAAACCUCUUUUCUCAAGAAAGAAGCUCUGACGGUACUUGAGGAAUAAGCAUCGGCUAACUCCGUGCCAGCAGCCGCGGUAAUACGGGGGAUGCAAGCGUUAUCCGGAAUCAUUGGGCGUAAAGCGCCUGUAGGUUGUCUAAUAAGUCUGUUGUUAAAGACUAGGGCUUAACCCUAGGAAAGCAAUGGAAACUGCUAGGCUUGAGUAUGGUAGGGGUAGAGGGAAUUUCUAGUGUAGCGGUGAAAUGCGUAGAUAUUAGAAAGAACACCAGUGGCGAAAGCGCUCUACUGGGCCAUUACUGACACUGAGAGGCGAAAGCUAGGGGAGCGAAAGGGAUUAGAUACCCCUGUAGUCCUAGCCGUAAACGAUGGAUACUAGGUGUUGUGUUUAUAUACAGUAUCGUAGCUAACGCGUUAAGUAUCCCGCCUGGGGAGUACGCUCGCAAGGGUGAAACUCAAAGGAAUUGACGGGGGCCCGCACAAGCGGUGGA